UACGGGGGGGACAAGCGUUGUCCGGAUUUACUGGGCGUAAAGAGCGCGCAGGCGGUCGUUCAAGUCGAGUGUGAAAGCCCCCGGCUCAACUGGGGAGGGUCACUCGAUACUGAUCGACUCGAAGGCAGGAGAGGGAGGUGGAAUUCCCGGUGUAGUGGUGAAAUGCGUAGAUAUCGGGAGGAACACCAGUGGCGAAGGCGACUUCCUGGCCUGUUCUUGACGCUGAGGCGCGAAAGCUAGGGGAGCAAACGGG
Molecule: ribosomal RNA, 253 nt
Filed under: uncultured bacterium
Lineage: Bacteria
Description: partial 16S ribosomal RNA
Rfam family: Bacterial small subunit ribosomal RNA
Source: RNAcentral